UUUAUGAUAUAAUGUAUUUCGUAGAGAAGUAAGAGACGGGGGCUACCAUUUCUGAAAGGUAGGUGAUGCCUAUGGGCAAAUCAUCAAAAUCUGGACGAAAGGAGGUAGCCAAGAGUUGUCGAUGUUCGAAGUAUUGACGCUUUUAUUUGUGGCUGGUAACUUUGUUAUUGCCCUUGU
RNAcentral lists this small RNA (177 nucleotides) under Streptococcus mutans. Its description in RNAcentral is "Listeria sRNA rli28". It matches the Rfam family "Listeria sRNA rli28". Lineage: Bacteria; Bacillati; Bacillota; Bacilli; Lactobacillales; Streptococcaceae. The record is from RNAcentral.